UCACAGCACUCUGAAGAAUGCCGCCAUCGUCAGCCGGCAUACCGAAGGAGCAAGCGGCCCCGCCUCCGGUACCCCCGGUACCCCCGGUACCACCGGCGACUGUCGUGAAUCUCUCAGGUCAGGAACAGAGGGGGCGUC
RNAcentral lists this non-coding RNA (138 nucleotides) under Cupriavidus oxalaticus. RNAcentral's name for it is "Glycine". It matches the Rfam family "Glycine riboswitch aptamer". From Rfam's summary of the family: This family represents the bacterial glycine riboswitch. Glycine riboswitches usually consist of two metabolite-binding aptamers domains with similar structures in tandem. The record is from RNAcentral. Lineage: Bacteria; Pseudomonadati; Pseudomonadota; Betaproteobacteria; Burkholderiales; Burkholderiaceae.